AGUGAACGCUGGCGGCAGGCCUAAUACAUGCAAGUCGAACGGCAGCACGGCAGAGCUUGCUCUGUGGGUGGCGAGUGGCGGACGGGUGAGGAAUACAUGGGAAUCUGCCCAGUCGUGGGGGAUAACGUAGGGAAACUUACGCUAAUACCGCAUGCGCCCUUCGGGGAAAGCCGGGGACCUUCGGGCCUGGCGCGAUUGGAUGAGCCCAUGUCGGAUUAGCUAGUUGGCGGGGUAAUGGCCCACCAAGGCGACGAUCCGUAGCUGGUCUGAGAGGAUGAUCAGCCACACUGGAACUGAGACACGGUCCAGACUCCUACGGGAGGCAGCAGUAGGGAAUAUUGGACAAUGGGCGCAAGCCUGAUCCAGCCAUGCCGCGUGAGUGAAGAAGGCCCUCGGGUUGUAAAGCUCUUUUGUCCGGAAGAAAAGCGCCGGGUUAAUACCCUGGUGUCCUGACGGUACCGGAAGAAUAAGCACCGGCUAACUUCGUGCCAGCAGCCG
This 498-nucleotide ribosomal RNA is filed under the name uncultured bacterium. RNAcentral's name for it is "bacterial SSU rRNA". It matches the Rfam family "Bacterial small subunit ribosomal RNA", at positions 29 to 517 of the family's 1533-position model. The record is from RNAcentral.